UCUCUAUUUCGUAUUUAUAUUAGUGAAAACCUACUUCGAAACACACUUCCGUGAUUAUUUUACGUCGUUACAUCAUUUUGCCGUGUUACAUAUAACAUUACAGUUUAUUUAGUUUAUAUAAAAAUCUCAGUUUUACAAUGCAGGCGACAGAUGACGAGAACGAGAUCAUUCAUUAGAGUCUCGGUCGGUUUUUUUUAUUAUCAAUGCUAGGUUAGUUAAUAACGAGAAGCUAUCGCCAUUUCCAGAUCAAGGGGUCGUUCUCGAGCCGCGGCGGUGUCGCCAGCCCCAACCCGUACUCCCGCGGCAACGCCUGCGCCAACUGCUGGCACGUGCUGUGCGGACCCCUCGCCCCCAGUCUCAUAGACCGACGUGGCCUGGUGACCGUGGAGGGCGAGCUUCCGGCCGGGUUCGCGCCCCCCGCGCCCCCCGUGACCGCCGCGCCCCCCGCGCCCGGCGCCCCCCGCCCCGCAACCACCUUCAUCACUGCGCCGCACCACGGUUGCGAGAUGGCGCCGCGCCACGCCUACAUGAACCACAGCCUGGACCUGGACCCCGUGCCGCUGCAAGAGAUAUGCAUCGGCGGAGGGCGGCACGAGGCGCGGGGCG
Papilio xuthus (Asian swallowtail) is the source of this 606-nucleotide long non-coding RNA. RefSeq lists it as uncharacterized. Lineage: Eukaryota; Metazoa; Arthropoda; Insecta; Lepidoptera; Papilionidae. The transcript has 4 exons. The record is from RefSeq and is a predicted model, not a curated record.